Molecule: ribosomal RNA, 253 nt
Filed under: uncultured bacterium
Lineage: Bacteria
Description: partial 16S ribosomal RNA
Rfam family: Bacterial small subunit ribosomal RNA
Source: RNAcentral
UACGGGGGGGGCAAGCGUUGUUCGGAAUUACUGGGCGUAAAGGGCUCGUAGGCGGCCAACUAAGUCAGACGUGAAAUCCCUCGGCUUAACCGGGGAACUGCGUCUGAUACUGGAUGGCUUGAAUCCGGGAGAGGGAUGCGGAAUUCCAGGUGUAGCGGUGAAAUGCGUAGAUAUCUGGAGGAACACCGGUGGCGAAGGCGCCAUCCUGGACCGGCAUUGACGCUGAGGAGCGAAAGCCAGGGGAGCAAACGGG